Non-coding RNA from Danio rerio (zebrafish), 147 nucleotides. The record is from Ensembl. Lineage: Eukaryota; Metazoa; Chordata; Actinopteri; Cypriniformes; Danionidae.
AUUGUAAGACGUAUUAACAUUUCAGAAUUAAAGACAUCUAACAGAAACUCUGUAAGACAUCAAGCUAGACGCUGGCGUGAACCUUCACCAAGAGCUGAUCCUUCACUCCUCUCCCUGGAGCAGUUGUUGAAGGUAUUGAACAAAUGA